This 771-nucleotide non-coding RNA is filed under the name Curculionoidea sp. 26 KM-2017. Lineage: Eukaryota; Metazoa; Arthropoda; Insecta; Coleoptera. The record is from RNAcentral.
UUAAAGUUUAAAUUUAGCUUAUUUUUUUGGUGGGGGAUUUAUUUACAUGUGAAAUUAAAUAUGGGGGUAUUUUAAAUAAAAGCAUGUACAGUAAAUAAAAUUAAGUAUGAACGUAAGUUUGACUUAGAAAUUCAAAAAACAUAAGUGAAGUUUGUGCCAGCAGCUGCGGUUAAACAAACUAUGUGACUUAAAAUGUUUAGAAUUAAUUAAUUUGUUUUAAAAGUUUAAUUAGGGGUAAUAUUUGGGGGGUGAAAUAAAAAUAUUACUUUUAUUAUAAAAAUUUUAAUGAGGUUAAGAAAAUUUGGUUUGAAACUAGGAUUAGAUACCCUAUUAUAAAAAUGUUAAUUGGAGUUUCUAAUUUAGUGAAAGUUAAGGUCUUUAAAGUUAAAAAUUUUGGCGGUAUUUUAAUCUUUUCAGAGGAAUCUGUUCAGUAAAUGAUAUUCCACGAUAAAUUGUACUUUUAUCAUAGUUUACAUAUCGUUGUAUAGAAUAUUUUUUUAGAAUUUUAAUAUUAGUGGUUUUUAUUCAAAAAAUAAAUCAAAUCAAGAUGUAGCUGAUAUAGAAGUUGAAAUGGGUUACAGUAAUAUUAAUUAUUAUGGAUUUAGGAUUGAAAAUUUUAAUGAAGGUGGAUUUGAGAGUAAUUUGAAAAAUUUAUUUUAAAUGAUUAUAGUUUUAAAAUAUGUACAUAUUGCCCGUCGCUUUCAUUAUAAGAUGAAAUAAGUCGUAACAAAGUAGGUGUACUGGAAAGUGUACCUGGAAGGGGGAUUUAUA